UAGUUAUAGCACUGCCUGCAUGCCUUAGAAGGACUUACAUAUUUAUGAAAUGAAGAGAAUGUGUUUAGAUUACCCUGCUGUGCCCAGAAUCACAGUUUAGCCUCCUUUAAUGUAAUUUGAAGCUUUACGUCCUGACAGUUAUGGUUCGUUAAACCCCAACACUAAUUGGUCUCUAGUUUGUGUGCACCCUUCUGCUCUAGCCGCUCUGGACCGCUCUUCACCCCGCAGCAUGGCAUGCGCUUUCGGGAUCUGCUUGCUUCUGUGCUGUUUCCUCUGCUUGGAAUGUGCUCCCCUCCCCCUCACCCGGUGACCUCCUCAGCUGAGGCUCAGCUCCAUUGCCUGCAUACCGGGGAAUCCUGUCCCUCCCUCCGAGAUGACCAUGUGCUUCAGCUAGACUGUGAGCUCCACGAGAGCAGGACUCUUUGCUUUGUUGUUUUGUGUAGUUGCCCCAAACCUUGCACGUAGUAGCCUAUUAAAUAAAUACUGCUUUACUCUCCAUUUGAUUCUAGAAGGGUGUAGUGAUAAUAAAUGCUUAUUCAAUAAAUGUGUACAACACG
This 557-nucleotide long non-coding RNA is filed under the name Rattus norvegicus (Norway rat). Its description in RNAcentral is "long non-coding RNA NONRATT013550". The record is from RNAcentral. Lineage: Eukaryota; Metazoa; Chordata; Mammalia; Rodentia; Muridae.